GCUAUGGUACUUGAAGGGUGAUUCUCAAAUACACAUCUGACUGCUUCCUUUCCACUGAAAACAAAGUCUGGAGGUACAAUCUGGAGUGAGACAUCUGGACUGAGACACUCUUCUGUUACCCACUUUCUGUAUGAACUUGGAGUGCACGUAUACAUACCGUGUUCAUACAGACACCCAGAGGCCAGAAGAGGGUGAUGAAUCCCACGGAACUGGAGUUACCAGUGAUUGUGAGCCAUUGAGAAUUGGCUGAUGAUCUCAAAGGCUUUCCAAGACUUUUGGAUGAAGUUCAAAUGGUUGGGCGUGGACAAGUCACAGUUCCAACUAUCCAGAUGGAGCCAAGAAGUCUGGGACCAACUGCAGGCCCCAAGAGUGCUAACUUGUUUAUUAUGGAUGAGAAUAUGGGACUCGCGCCCAGAUGUAUUCAGCAUAUAUAAUUGGCAUUUUCAAAGGGCAACACAGCCUGUAAGUCAUCCCAGCACCCCUAGAUUACCUGGCAUCACGCCAAUGUUGACAGAGAAAAAUGAACACCAGGCAAGUGGAAAACAGCGCUGAGGGAAAACCAUAAUGGAAACUUCUAGGAAGGAUUUCACCGUGGUCAGUAGAAUGCAUGAUCAUCACAAAGUGCCUGGACUACUUUGCACAUUGCUAACUUUCCAUUCAAGAGGAAAGGGAGAGGCUGUGUUUGGAUGCCCCCUUUCUAAACGGGAGGAAAUGUGCAAAAGACAAAGUUAAAGUCAAAUACUUAGUGCCACCAGAAAGCCCUUUUUGGGUUCCGAGAAUUGGAGGAUAUCAGCAUGGAUAUACGUCAAGGGAACCACCAGGGGGCGACCCAAGAAUGGGAAAAAAGCAGCAGCGGCCAAGAAAAGUUGCUUUUAGAACAUCUGAAGAAAGCUCAGGUACCCAGUAAGCAGAACAAGGUGAUAUUUCAACGUGUUGAUUUUUAUAUUUCAACGUGUUGAUUUUUACCCAAGGUUACUCUUGACUUGGGAAUUCCUCCUAAGCGAUCAGAAACACUAAGCAACAACUUUCUAAACAGAAUUGUGCUAUCAGGAGAAACAGCAAUGCCGGGACAGUGCAGUUGAUGAAUUUAAAUCCCUUCUCCAGGGCAGUGGAAAACUUCUAAAUGCUCGCAAAUUGGAAAGAAAUGCAAUUAAUAGUACCAGAGAGUAAAGAAAAUCUGAGCACACUUGACUAGUGUUUAUAUACAGAUAGACUCACACAUAGAUUGCCCUAUUACCCAACUCUGACUGUUUGGGGAAAGACAUACAUACUGAUUACUCGUGUUAAUGCCCAGGUUAGAGAUUGAAGUGUGAUCACAAUGUUUUAUCUUUUUUCCACAAGUCUCAUGAAAAAAUUAUUUUUUCAAGUCAAAUUCCCUUUUCUCCCAAUAAGUCUUGAUGACAUUUUACUAUAUUUAAGAACUCCCAAAGAAGGAAGCAAGGGGCAUUAGAGACUUUAUAGAACAGAAGAAAAGUCAACUUAAGUGGGCAAUAAAAGAAUGGUUCUUCCUGAUCCUAUACUCUAGUUGACCAAUAAACAUCUUUCCUACAGUGGGAAAGCAAAAGGAGAUAUUUUUGUGGGAUUUCCUAUCUUUGUGUUUGACUGCUCUGGCAAUUAUCUGGGAGUA
Long non-coding RNA from Apodemus sylvaticus (European woodmouse), 1627 nucleotides. RefSeq lists it as uncharacterized. The transcript is spliced from 3 exons. The record is from RefSeq and is a predicted model, not a curated record. NCBI's taxonomy places the organism in Eukaryota, Metazoa, Chordata, Mammalia, Rodentia, Muridae.